GACGAACGCUGGCGGCGUGCUUAACACAUGCAAGUCGAACGAAGAGCGAUGGAAGCUUGCUUCUAUCAAUCUUAGUGGCGAACGGGUGAGUAACGCGUAAUCAACCUGCCCUUCAGAGGGGGACAACAGUUGGAAACGACUGCUAAUACCGCAUACGAUCUAAUCUCGGCAUCGAGGAUAGAUGAAAGGUGGCCUCUACAUGUAAGCUAUCACUGAAGGAGGGGAUUGCGUCUGAUUAGCUAGUUGGAGGGGUAACGGCCCACCAUGGCGAUGAUCAGUAGCCGGUCUGAGAGGAUGAACGGCCACAUUGGGACUGAGACACGGCCCAGACGCCUACGGGAGGCAGCAGUGGGGAAUCUUCCGCAAUGGACGAAAGUCUGACGGAGCAACGCCGCGUGAGUGAUGACGGCCUUCGGGUUGUAAAGCUCUGUUAAUCGGGACGAAAGGCCUUCUUGCGAAUAGUGAGAAGGAUUGACGGUACCGGAAUAGAAAGCCACGGCUAACUACGUG
This 510-nucleotide ribosomal RNA is filed under the name uncultured bacterium. RNAcentral describes it as "partial 16S ribosomal RNA". It matches the Rfam family "Bacterial small subunit ribosomal RNA", at positions 28 to 507 of the family's 1533-position model. The record is from RNAcentral.